Molecule: long non-coding RNA, 4697 nt
Organism: Oncorhynchus tshawytscha (Chinook salmon)
Lineage: Eukaryota; Metazoa; Chordata; Actinopteri; Salmoniformes; Salmonidae
Source: Ensembl
UUGGCUUUGGGGGUGACCGUGAGAUAUACCUGCUGGAACGGGUGCUACGGAUGGGUGCAGCUAUGGUGACCAGCGAGCAGAGAUAAGGACCUGAGCCCUAGGACCAUGCCUCAGGACUACCUGGCACGAUGACUCCUUUCUGUCCCCAGUCCACCUGGCCAUGCUGCUGCUCCAGUUUCAACUGUUCUGCCUCCGGCUAUGGAAUCCUGACCUGUUCACCGGACGUGCUACCUGUCCCAGACCUGCUGUUUUCAACUCUAGAGACAGCAGGAGCGGCAGAGAUACUCUCAAUGAUCGGCUAUGAAAAGCCAACUGACAUUUACUCCUGAGGUGCUGACCUGUUGCACCCUCGACAACUACUGUGAUUAUUAUUAUUUGACCAUGCUGGUCAUUUAUAAACAUUUGAACAUCUUGGCCAUGUUCUGUUAUAAUCUCCACCCAGCACAGCCAGAAGAGGACUGGCCACCCCUUAUAGCCUGGUUCCUCUCUAGGUUUCCUCCUAGGUUUUGGCCUUUCUAGGGAUUUUUUCCUAGCCACCGUGCUUCUACACCUGCAUUGCUUGCUGUUUGGGGUUUUAGGCUGGGUUUCUGUACAGCACUUUGAGAUAUCAGCUGAUGUAAGAAGGGCUAUAGAAAUACAUUUGAUUUGAUUUGGCCUCCAUCGAUAAAACAUUUUGGCAAUCAGCGUUGAGCUGAGAUGAGCUGAACUGUGGGUUGUCCUGGUGCAGCAAAACGCCCCCUAAGGAUGGCCAGUUUGGAUUUGGCUUCACACUAAUGAAAUCAAUUUCUAAGCAAAACUUAAUUGUCUGUUUCUGGUCUGCUUGUGUUGAUGUCCUGUAUUAGCAUUUUUCUUUUUAAUCCCAGCCCCUAUCUCCGCAGGAGGCCUUUUGCCUCUUUGUAGGCCGUCAUUGUAAAUAAGAAUUUGUUCUUAAUUCACUUGCCUAGUUUUUAAAAAAAAGGUUAAAUAAAUACAUUAAAAAAGUAGCUAGCUUACUAGGACAGCCACGUGAUAUUGAAUAACAUUGAUUGGACUAAAUCAUUUUUGGUAUCUUUAACCACAUAUAUUUGAUCUUUAAGCAUAUAUAGCACUGUUGAUUUGAUGAAUGUUUAAAUAGCCUUGUUGAUUUGAUAAAUGUCUAAAUGGAAAUGAUGCUGGAAUGGCGGAGACAGUGCUCCUGUUGUUUUUGCGCUGACUUGCGGUAACUCUGUUGUUCUAAAUCAGUAGUUGUUGAGUAAACUGUAAAAACCUUAACUUGCUUGACCGUGCUGCAGGUGACUUAACUGUUUGUUACAUGCAAUAUUUGCUUUGUGGACUUCAGCGGACAGAUGUCGCUCUGCAGUUUUGUGAUGAAACAAACGUAAGGGUAGUUGAAUUUAUCCUGUUACUGAGUGACUGUUGUUUUUGUUGUCACGACCUUAUUGUAUAUCAUGGUGGCGUAUGAACGAAUCGGUUAUAGAACAAACAAUGCAAUUAUCACAACAAAGAUUGUAUUGCUUUUUUUACUGGCUUGGCUUGGCUUCCUCAGGGAUUUUACCCACACACUGCUACUGCAUUAGCAUAAAACACUGGCAACACACUGGUGUGUGAGUAAAUCUCAAUGGAAAUGGUAAGUGAAAGCGUUCAUAUCUUAUCUGUUCUUUCAAAUUUGACUUCAGUGCCCCUGGCGAUAUCUUGAGGUGGCCUGCCAAAUACAAUAGGAUCUAGCUUGUGUGCAUUAGCUGACAAGCAUGGUUGUAUGACAGUAUUGCUUCCGUCCCUCUAUUCGGCCCAACCUGGGCUUAAACCAGGGACUUUCUGCACACAUCAACAGUCAACCUCAAAUCAUCGUUACCUAUCGCUCCACAAAAGCCACAGUCCUUGCAGAACAAGGGAAACAACUACUUCAAGGUCUCAGAGCGAGUGACAUUACCAAUUGAAACACUACUAGCUCACACAGCCAAUUAGCUAGCCAUUUCACACUGGUUACAGCUGUCCAAAGAUGUCCUCAAGUUUGCACCAUCCAAAGGUCAUCUGUGUUGUGAUCAAUGAUGUAUAUGUAACAGGGUUCUAUUGGUGAUUCCCCUUUGUUAAGCCAAUGGGUUUUUGGUUUUGUCUUGCCUUCACCUACUUAACAUGGCAUCUUAUUGGAUGGUUUGCAUGGGUUGCUUACGAGGGAGGAUGUUUUUAGUUAGAAUCAUCCCCGUGAACAAGCACCAAACCAGAGGUAAGUUGUUGGUUGCAAAGCUCUGUACGUCAAAAGGGAUUUUUAUACUCCCGAGUGAUGAUUUGAAUGUACAAUUUAGAUACAUUUAUGUAAAUGUUAUUAGAACAUCACACAUAAGAGGCAGAGGUUUUAUGUGCAUUUUGUUGUAGAGAAUUCCAGCUAGUACUAGCUAGCAACUUACUGUGUCUGGGGGGGGUUGUAUAUUUUGUACAGUACGUGAGUGCAGAGUUGGAUGGUGAGCCGUGCAAUUUUGUGCUUUCUAUCAGGUACAUUGUUGAAAAUAUUAUAUGUUGUAAUUGUUGUAUCUACGUUGCCCAGUGAACAAGCACAAAACCAGCGUGCGUGAGUGCAGAGUUGGAUGGUGAGCCAUGCAUUGCAUGACGUGCAAUUUUGUGCUGUUUCUAUCAGAGUAAAUCUCCAUGACUGGUGCUAUCAUGACACAAGGCGAGACCCAGAUGCAGACAUAGGAGGCAGAUGGUUGGAGUCUUACAAUGUUUAUUCAGCCAAAAGGAGUAGGCAAGAGAAUGGUCGUGGACAGGCAAAAGGUCAAAACCAGAUCAGAGUCCAGGAGGUACAGAGUGGCAGACAGGCCCAUGGUCAAGGCAGGCUGAAUGGUCAGGCAGGGGGUUACAAAGUCCAGAAACAGGCAAGGGUCAAGACCGGGAGGACUAGAAAAAAGGAGGAAAUGCAAAAAGCAGGAGAACGGGAAAACCGCUGGUUGACUUGGAAACAUAUAAGACGAACUGGCACAGAGAGACAGGAAACACAGGGAUAAAUACACUGGGGAAAAUAAGCGACACCUGGAGGGGGUGGAGACAAUCACAGGGACAGGUGAAACAGAUAAGGGUGUGACAGGUGCUACAUGUUAAAGUUCCUGUCGAUGAUUGCACACAACGCAAGAUGAGUACUGUGACAUUAAUAAACCCUGGAUUGCGGAUGCUUUUUAUUGGCCGCUGAGAGACUUUGAAGCCAACUGUCAGCCAGAAGGAGCAGUCCUCCAUAAGAAUGAAUGGAAUUCUACAGUAUUUCAAUUAAAUGUAUAUAAGUAUUUUUGUUGCUGUAGUAGGCACAGUAACAUUAGUUAUCUCAAAAAUUAUUCUUUAAGAAAAAUGUUUUAUAUACAAUAUAAUAAUAUAUUUAAAAAGUAUGCAUUAAGGUGUCUGUAAUAGAACAUAUGUGUAUUUUGUCGUUGUUGCCAUUAAUAAAUGUAUUUCUACAGCUUGCAAAAUAGUUUUUACAAUGGUGAGGGAGUGCCAAGAUGGUAAUCUAGUGUAUAUAUAUAAAUCAUUGGUUGUGAUCCAUUUCCUUCCUCUAAUCUUAUCAGACAGUAUUUGAACUAAUGCCACUUUUCAGUUUUAUAAAUUGACCCUUAACCUUCAAUAUGAAUGGGGAAAUAAUGGAUAUACUGCACAUAAUAGAAUAUUGGAAAUGAAAUAGUUGUAAACAAUCCCAAAGUGUACAAGAGAGUGUACAUGACAGUGUACAUGAAUGAGCCCUUUGUUAUGUGAUCUGGACAUUUGAAGUGGGCCAUAGAAACCCCCUCAGCCCUCUGGUUUCAUCAGAGGACACACAGUAGAGUGAGUCUAAAAAAAGUGUGGAGAGUAACCGUUUGUAAACCCUACAUAAACACACUGAAAAUACAACAAAAGUCAAGUGGAAAAGUUCAUUAAGUUCAGUGAAAUUGGUAAGACACAACAUAGUAGUUAAUAUAACAUCUGCAAUGCCUAGACAGGCAACUGAGGUCAUGUUUUCUCAAUCCAUGUACCGCUUUGGCAAUGUGCAUAUUCCUAUGCAAAUUGUCUGGAGCUAUAAUUGUGGGAAUAGCAAGAAUGGGCACUGGGACAAAUUUAUCAAGGAUUAUAUCUGUGGUAAGAGGAAUAUUGUACCAACAAUCCCACCAUUUAAGAUCAUGUUUCCCAGGGUAAAGCACUGCAGGCCAAAACUGGAUUAUGUUCUGACAUACAGUACCAGUCAAAAGUUUGGACACACCUACUCAUUCCAGCGUUUUUCUUUAUUUGGACUAUUUUCUACGUUGUAUUAUAAUAGUGAAGUUAUCAACACUAUGAAAUAACAGAUAUGGAAUCAUUUAGUAACCAAAAAAAGUGUUAAAAAAAUCAAAAUAUAUUUUAUGUGUGAGAUUCUUCAAAGUAGCCAUCCUUUGCCUUGAUGACAGCUUUGCACACUCUUGGCAUUCUCUCAACCAAUGUAAAAAAUGGUACAACUUUUGACAGGUACUGGUACUCUAUAUAAACAAACGUUUAAUUCAUUUAGCAAUAUUUUUGAGACAUAAAUUCCAACUGAAGACCAUGUAAAUAUGGGUUUAAUGUCAGUCUACUGAACAAUCCCCCAAUGAGGCCUUUGUUCUUGUAAAAUACCUGCAAUAAGAUAACACUAUCUUGGGCAAAGUCAUAACAAUCAACUUUCUCAAAUGUAUUAAAAUGUCAUCUUUGAUGCUCUUACUCAACUCUGAUCAUAUUUUUGAACUGUACCAAAC